CACGGGGGGAGCAAGCGUUGUUCGGAAUCACUGGGCGUAAAGGGCGUGUAGGCGGUCAAGUAAGUGGAAUGUGAAAGCCCCCGGCUUACCCGGGGAUCUGCAUCCCAAACUGCUUGGCUUGAGUACGGGAGGGGAUAGGGGAAUUCCUGGUGUAGCGGUGAAAUGCGUAGAUAUCAGGAGGAACACCGGUGGCGAAGGCGCCUAUCUGGCCCGAUACUGACGCUGAGGCGCGAAAGCUAGGGGAGCAAACGGG
RNAcentral lists this ribosomal RNA (253 nucleotides) under uncultured bacterium. RNAcentral describes it as "partial 16S ribosomal RNA". It matches the Rfam family "Bacterial small subunit ribosomal RNA", at positions 524 to 776 of the family's 1533-position model. The record is from RNAcentral.